RNAcentral lists this long non-coding RNA (14886 nucleotides) under Vitis vinifera (wine grape). Its description in RNAcentral is "long non-coding RNA (VVIN_LNC006368)". The record is from RNAcentral. Lineage: Eukaryota; Viridiplantae; Streptophyta; Magnoliopsida; Vitales; Vitaceae.
UGGGUGUUAUCCUCUUCAUCAAGUUUGGCCAAACCAAAGUCAGAUAUUUUGGGGUUAAGAUCCUUAUCAAGUAGCACAUUUGUGGCCUUGAUGUCUCGGUGGACGAUCUUCAGCCUUGAUUCUUCAUGAAGAUAAGCCAACCCUCUUGCUAUGCCAACACAGAUCCUGUGUCUAGUUGGCCAAUCCAAUUGUAAUUGACAUUCUUCGGGGCCUAAAUCAUCAUAUCAACCAAAAGUUAGAUGUAAGAAGCACAAUCACACAAGUUCAUAUACAUGUAGUUUUAUAGCAGAAGCAAUUGAGUAAAGCACGUAAGCAGAUGUGAAAAAAAACAGACCAAACAAAGCACGAGCGAGGCUGUUAUUUUCCAUGUACUCGUAUAUCAGCAACAACUGAUUUCCUUCUAUACAACAGCCAUAGAGCUUCACAAGAUGAGGAUGUUGAAGAGCAGAAAUCAUGCCUAUCUCAUUCACAAACUCACGGUUUCCUUGUUUUGAUUUGGAAGAAAGCUGCUUCACUGCAAUUAUGGUGCCAUCGGAUAAGACGCCCUGCAUUUUGAGAAAUAAUGUCCUCUCUUCAGUAUAAAGUUUUAUGAGAACAAACUGCUUACCAAACAUCUUAAAUGCAUAAAAUGAGGGAAAACUAAUUCUUGUGCUGAAUACCUUGUAAACAGAACCAAAUCCACCUUCUCCAAUUUUGUUGGCAGCAUCAAAGUUGUUUGUUGCAGCCUUAAUUUGCCUUAAGGUAAACAAGCCAGUCUGCAGAUCUAGACCCUUUAACUCUGUAGAAGAAGCCAAGUUAGAUAAGAAAUAUAUCUAAUAAAAAGUUGCAAUCAUUUCUAAAUUCCUAAUAGUUUGAGAAGGAUUUUGAUGGAUUAUAACUGUAUCUUCUACAUCCAGAGAAAUCAACCCUGAUUAGAUACCAUGUUUUGGCAUGAAUGCCAGCAAACCAAUCCACUGCUACGACAUCAACAAUCAAAUGUUUUGAUAGACAAAUUUUUUCAUAAUCAAUACCUUGUUCCAACGUAUCUUUGCGCCUUAGGCAAUCUCUCCACCAAAGGAUACCUAUAAGCAGGAAGACAAGAAGAAUGACUCCAGCCACAAUGCCAACCACAACGCCAACAGAUAUACUACUGCUUCCAUUUUCGGUAGGAGGUAUAAAAUCUGCAAGAAAAAACAAAGUUAGAACAGAUACACAGAUGGAAUGGAUGCUUUUGGGCAAAUGAUGGCACAAAGAAAAACAAAAUCCAACCAUUAGUGAUGCUGCAAAAAGAGGCUAACAACAAAAAAUAUUUUAUCAACAUUAAUUCUUCAGAGAGUCGAAGCUAAAUAAACAUGAAAAGAUGCUCGAACUGUUGGAAAAUUUCAGAAGAGCACCACAUACAGAGCAAUGAAAUUUCCUGUAAUAUAAGUAGCAUCCAAAUAUAUAUAGAUAUAUCAAAACAUACUUGUGCUAAACCCUUCAAAAAAUAAUGAAUCAUGUCCAUGUUGGUUCCAAGUGACCUAAAGAAAAGAGGAGUUGUGCAGACUGAACCAAAUCACUUAACUAUAAUAAAUGUGUAAUUUGAGAAAAAGUAGAAGAACAAACCCUUUUACAUCCCAACUAUUCAAAAUUGUUGAACUACUAAUUUUCCUAAAAGCUUAACCUUACCCUCCUUUACUACCCGCAUGUGGAGAGACAAAUAGAAUUUGGAUUCAUAUCCAAUGGACAAAGAUAGACAAAAUUUGGAUUUUUAUUCAACAAACAAAUAAAGGAAAUGCAAAUUGCAGAGAGAAGGAUCAAACCCAGGACCUCCCCCCAAACCAAGCUUUGAAAUCAUGUUCAACUACCAAUUUUCCUAAAAGCUUAAGCUUGUAGGAUUUGGGCUCAAUAUGCAUAUCAUGCUUUUUAAUAAAAAUGAUAAAGAAAAUUCAUAAAACAAGCUCAGAAAAUGUGUGACGUACCAGGGUCCACAGAAAUAGCUGAUAUAAGAGGACCAUAAACUCCUCUAACUGGGAUACCUGUAGUCCCUUUCCCAGCCCAAUAGAAGCGAAUUUCCAAGGUAUUAUUAGUCACAACUGCAGUAAAAUAUUUUAAGAUUUCCUUGCUAACACCUCCUGCUUCAUCCUCAAUAUUGAAAUCCUUGAGAACCAACUUAUCCUGCAACAAACCACUCCAAUUACAACUGAAAUUUUCAAGGUGCUAUAAAUUGAAAUGGUGUCCCAAGAUUUCUCUAAAACUUUGUGCAAAAAAGUUGAAUUUUUAUAUAGGUUAAAGUCAAGAACUCAAAAUGGCUUGAAUCCAAAAUGCUAAAGUUUCUUGUACUUUUUAAAAUUAGAACUUUGGUUGGUGAACAUGGAAGUAAUGUGAUUCAUUACCUGAACAUAAACAUCAAACAAACGCCUACCAAGGCUGCUAUAUGUUUUGUCAUCAGUAAAGGUGAUCUCUGCAAAGUGAAGCUUUACUGUGUAGUUUCCAUUUUCCAGACAGAAUCCAUAAUAAGUGAGAGACAGGGCAGAGAGGCGUGCGGUUGUAUACAGUCCAGAAUUUUCCAUGAUGAGUCUAGACACGUUUGUCCCAAUAAAGGAGUCCGUAGGGCGGUCAUCGUCCAUGAAGUGACCUGUGCUGCUGAAUGCCCAGUUUGUUCUACUCUGAUAGAACUUUGAUGGUCCACCAGAAUCUGUGUCAUCUUCAUAUGUGGUAUUUCCAUCAACAAUUACUUCUUUUCCACCACAAUUUAUGUGCAUGGAGUAAAACUCUGGAAAAAAAACCUACAAUAGAUUGGUGAAAUUGAACAAGAAAAGAAAAAGGAUAUUUAGAAAAAGGCACAAGAAAAUACAUCCAUUAACCACCCUUCCCGAACUUUUACUUUAAUCAGCAAACUUGUGACACUGUUUUGGACUGUAUACCAAUCCAUUUUUAAUAGACCAUGUGAUCCAAUGGAAAGAUUUCAACCCCAAAUGCAUUAGCAGUACCCUAAAUGCACAGGGCAAAGCACAAGAAAGGAGAAUGCCUAUCUUGAAGAGAUUUUGAGACACGGUGUGCUGAAAUGUGGGUCGUCUACAAAGCUGGUCUGAUCAGUGUUUUAUCAACACUAGAAGCACAAAUUUUGAGUUGAAGAUUAAUCAGACUCAUCUCAAGUUAUGGAAAGUGAAAUUGAUGACAUUCUAAAAUCCAUUUAUAUUCUUCCAUUAAUUUCAUUCUUUUGUAUUUCUUAAUUAACAAUGUCAAGAUAGCAUAUGAUAUUUAAACUUACUUUUUGGGCAAUUAAAGCUUCUCAAGCACGAGACAAUUCCACUGAGAAAACAACGUAAUGCCCAGCAAAAGUCAGCAUCACAACAUCAUAUUUGAAUAUUACAUGACAAGGAAAGAAUCGUAGUGCUGAAAAAAAUUAUUGGCUUCAGAAAACAUUUAUUUAUUACAAUCCUUAAAAUGGUAAUUAGAAACUCACGAGUUAUUUCCUCCUGAUGAGCUUCCAAACAAAUUUCUGUAGAAAAUAUCACAAUAUUGAAAGUUUAGAUGCUAAACAGAUGAUUUUACACAGCAAAUAAUACAGAAAAGAAAUAUCUUAUGUUAGAUAAGAGUAUUCUUACACACUCCGUUCUUGACAUCCUCUUGAGCUUUCACUAGUAAAGUUAUUGUAUGAAAGAUCACUGCACACAGUAUUCACAGUUUAAUUCAUCAUAGUUUUCCAUGCAGAAUGAACAUCAAGUUAAUAAAUCAUGACUUCACAUGAACAGAAUUGCAUAUAGUAUUUGAUUAUCUGAACCUUAUUUCUAAAUAACCCAAGAGAUGAAGUGUCUUGUGCCAUUAGCCAUGCAACACACAACCAAUAGCUCAGUUGUUCCUUUAGGAGUGGUCCUAAACCACUUUGAGCUAUAGUGCAAAGAACUAUUCCCCCAAGCCUAAAAUACUCUACAAUCCAUCUAUCCAUCCUCACAUAUCACCCUCUUUUUUGUCUAGAAUCCAAGUUAUAUGCAAAAGGGAGCGGAAAUACGACUUAUUGCUUUUGGUGGCAAGAGUUUUCAAUGUGCAACAGCUGUUUGUGUAAAGGAAUGAGGAAAUCGUGUUUUGCAUGAAAAAUUCUGUAGUAUGUCUUCGUACAAAGCAUGAACAGUUUUAAUCAGAUUCCUUAAUAGCACAGAAUAAAAGAACAAUUAUCUCUUCCAAAUUUUAGAACUAACAGAAUGUUUGCUACCCAAAUAUUUGAAAUAUUAAUCGAUAAUCAGAAUUCAUGGCGAAACAUAGAAUCAACAUUCAAAGCCAAAUUUAUUUGCUGUAAGGAUGCAAGUGUAUGCCCAUUAAAACUAAUAAAAAAAAAUAGAAGCAAGAAAGUAAUAAAAGCAAAUUGAUAGUUAACAUGUGAUGAGUAGAAACAAACAAACAUAGCCACAACAAUAUAUAAAGCAUUUGAGAAAAAAAUUUACUAGUUGUCUCCUCUUUUCAGCAUCCAAUCAGGCACGGCUCCAGUUAGCAUGUUUCCGGUAAAAUACCUACAUAACAUUGAGUUGUCCAACUUUAGUAUUGCUCAAGUAGUUUUCUUCACUAGAGUAACAUCUGAAGCAUGAUAGGAAAAACUUACUAGUAAUUCCCCCUUCAAGGACCAAAAUUAGUUUUCAAUCAAUCAGAAUGAAUUCAUCUGUCAAUUGGCUCUUUAUUCAGAAGGCUUUUAAAGCCAACAUAUGUGAUUUAGUCACUCAAUCAAUUUGAUCCUAGGCUCUAAAAUCUCCUGGUUCAUUUAGGCAAUUAACUUGGUCUUUUAGAUUAACCUUUACUUGUAGCACAUUGGACUUCUUUCUUCAUUUAGACCAUUAAACUCAUCUUUCAGAUUCAGUACUGAAGCCCAACCAAUGUGGUUUAGUCUUAAAAUCAAUUCAACUCCACAUCCUCUAAGCUUUCUUGGUUCAUUUAGGCCAUUAUAUUGGUUUUUCAUUUCAAUCUGUUGAUUAUUAGGUAAUUUCACCCCUUGGAAUCAGCUUGAAUAGUUGUCAAAACCUAAAGAAGAAAUUUUUAUAUGAAAAUACACUGCUUACAUGUAAUCUGCAUUUGAUAGACCGACAAAGCUGCUUGGAAUUUCUCCAGUUAGUUUGUUAAAACUCAGAUCUCUGCAAGAGAAUCAUAAACAGAAUGCAUUAAAAAUUGCUCUACCCCGAAAGAGUCGAACACCUGAGAAUGGAAAAACAAUACCAAGAAACCGAAAUGACAUGCUGAAAUGAAUAAAUAUGAAGUUUAUGGAAUUGUGUAUGCAUCAUAACAAUUUCUUAAUAAGGCAAAUGAUACAAAGUAGGAGCUAUGUCUCAAGCUCCUUCCACCACAUAACCGUUUAUGAUUAGCACUUGUCACUGGAUACUGGCAGCUUAUACAUUGACCAUCUGUUUUUCUUCUUGGCUCAAAAUACUACUCUAGAUGCAUUUCAGAUGGUCUAAAUUAUCUGCGAGUAAAGAUUCCCUUUCCACAUUUUGUCCGAUUAAGAAUCUAGAUCCCAGAAAUUAUGACAACUAAACUCAUAAAGCCAUCCACUUCAGAGAGACAAAAUGGCUAUUUAUCAAUUUUUACUUGAUACGUCAUGAAACAUACAUGCUGAAUAGGCAGGUGCAAAUAGCAAUGUGUGAGCCCAUGCAACAAGCAGGCUCCUACUUAGCAGUGAAUAUGACACUCAAAGAAGCAUUUAUGAAGUUAUAGAAAAGCCAGACUACUAGGAGCCUUCUCGACAUGUCUCCAGGGUCUUAUUUUCUAUCUAUUCAUACAAACAAUGCAAGCUGUAAGCAGCUUAUUCAAAAUCCAAAUUAGUCAAAACACAGAGAUGCGGUGACCACUCAAGGAACAUCACAAGCUAUGCAAGAAGUCAUAACAUGAAACAAUCUCUGAAUUAGUAGAAAAACACGUUUCAAAGAAUCUUAACAAUUAGUCUGCAACAGGUAAAGGGGAAAAGAUACUAAAUAUAUACUGACAGGGUUUUCAAUUUUGUCAUUUCCCCAAGGUAAUCAGGUAGCGGGUCAACAAUAUUGCAACUCCUCAAUAUCCUGCAAUCAAAUCAAAUAUAUAUCACCAAAAAUCUCGAAAAUAUGUUCUAUGUACUGUGUAUUAUCAAGGGCAAUCUACUCACAGUGUUUUCAAGUCUCUCAUAUCACUCAAUGGUGGAAAAGUUGCUUCAGUUCCAUUCAGGUCACUGAUUCUCCUGAACAUAGAAAUUUAAUAAAAAAUAAAAAUAUAAUAAUUUCAAUCCAUAUAAAUUAUCAAAGCUAUGGCAUAGGAGAGCUUUACUCACAAGUCAGUUAUUUUUGUCAAAAGGGCAAUGCCAGAAGGAAUCGGCCCACUGAAACCACUCCCUUGAAUCACUCUGUCGGUAGCAAAUUUCAAUUAGAAUAUGUGAUUAUAAAUGAAAUCAUGCCACUCAUACCAACUCAAACAUCAGAUUCAACAAAGCUCUCACAAUUUUUCAAGUUUUGUCCAGUUCUGUAUAAAAUUGGGUAUCUUUCCUGUGAACUGAUUAUCUCCAACCCGACUGCAUUGAAUUAAAACAAAGAUACAAUAGCCCCAAUCUCAGAAUUCAACCAAAAAAAGAUGCUAAUUUAUGCAUACAAAAACCCGAAAAAAGAAAAGACACUUCAAAAUCUUACAAGUCCUUCAAUGUGGUAAGCCCUGCAAAUGUUUGUGGUAACUCCCCAGUGAAGUUGUUUGAGGUAAGAAGUCUUCAACAACGAAAAACACAACCAAACCAAUAAACCCACCAGCGUUAAUAAUAAAAAAAAACGGUAACACCCAUAAUUGGCAAAAUCUACAAACAAAAGGGUCUUACAUUCUCUCUAUACUGGGCAGAUUCCCAAGCUCCUGAGGAAGAACCCCUGAAAGCUGAUUGAACUCCACGGUUCUACGCAUAUCAAAUCCAAAAUUUUUGCAUCAAAAAAAUAAUUCUUAAAAGAUCACACACUGAAAAGGGAAACAAAUGGGUAAUUAGAAAUUCACAGGUUUGCAAGAGUAGAGAUGUUUCCAAGCUCUUUGGGAAUCGAACCCGUUAAUUGGUUUCCGAUCAGAGAACUGCAACAACACCCACAUACCAAAUUAAAAAAAAAUAAAAAAUGAACUGCUUAAAGGUUCAUAUUGAAUAAGCCAUCAAAAUUUCAACCAUAUAUACAUAGAUGGAGAGAAAGCAUACAUGUUUACUAGUUGCAUUGUACCCCAUUCUGGAGGGAUUGAACCGUUGAGGUAGUUGCGGGUGAAGUCACUGUGACGGAGAUGAAUUACAGUUAAGUUAGUUGAAGUCCUAAAUGGGUAAUUGAAGAAAUGGGUGAUGCCAAAAUUGGCAGAAAAAUUAAGUUAGAGAAAUACUCACAUUUCUUGGAGGUAAGGAAGCUUCACCAGCUCUGGUGGGAGAGAUCCCGGGAGAUUCUGAGUCUUGAGGACUCUACAAAGGAUAAAUACUCACGUUAACGGUUAUUAAUUAACUUAUGAUUGAUUUGUAUAUUUUUUAAUUAUUUUUCAAAUAUUCUAUAAAGAAAAAAAAAUUAGACUAGGUUGUUCCUUACAAAUUUUAAGGAAUAAUACAAGAAAAAGUACAAGAAAUAAAAUUUGGAAGAAAAUAAAAAAUUAAUUUAAAAUUAAUAAAUUAUUUUUAUAUAUUACUUCAAAUUUAUUAAGAUAUUUUACCUCUUUUAUAUAAAAGUUAAAUAAUUUUAAAAUAUAUAAAUUUUUAAUUAAUUUUAGUUAUAUUUAAAUUUUUUUAUACUUUUCAUAAAAAACUAAAUAUAAAAAAUAAAUUUUUUUUUGCAUUUAUUUUCUUUCCUUAGCAUUUUUCUCAUACCAAAUACAUUAAUAUUAACGCAUCUUUAUAUUUUUAAAAAUUAAAAACUAUUUUCAAAUAGAUUCUAAAAUUUUAACUUAGUAGAAAGCUUAACUUGAUCCAAAUACAAUUCAAGAAACUAGAUUCAUGGGGUGUUAUUGUUGUGCAUUUGUAUCGGUGUCAAAACGACCCAAUUUUUGGCUCUGGUGCCAAAGCAUUCCAGAGUGGCCUCCUCAGGAUUCGAACUCAAAACCAAGGCCCUUGUGAUUGCCCUCCUGGUACCAUCUAAGCCAAAAAUUGGGUCGUUUUAGCAUCGAUACAAAUGAGUCAAAAAUCGGGUUGCUUUGACACCGAUACAAAUGCACAACAAAAAGGUUAGCCUUUUUUUGCAACAUUUGGGUGUUGCCACCAUUUGUAUUGGUGCCAAAGUGACCCAGAGUGGCCUCCCUAGGAUUCAAACUCAAAACCAAGGCCUUUGUAGUUGCCCUAAUAAGUUAUGUAUACAUUUUUAAGUUUUAUUAUUUAUAUUAUAAUUUUAUAUGUUUAUAUUUAAAUUUCAUUAUAUCUCACUAUACAUAUUCAAUGGCCUUGAUUUAGACCAGGAUACGUAUAGCUUUGCAUUUCCCGUCCGUAUAUAUCCCCAAGGGCCCAACCUCACUUGGCUGCCGACAUAAAAAAGGUGGGCCCAUUGGACCUCAGUUCCUAAUUGGGCCGCCCACAUGAUAAGAUUCUCCUUUCGAGUUUCGUCCUAAGGCUCCUAAGUCCUAACAUCCCAGAAUGGGAUCAGUCUGAAAUUAUUGGACCUGAAGGCCAAUUUAGAAGUCAAAGUCAACACAACAAAUUGGGCCCACCCACCUAACUCAUUAUUAUAAAUAUAUAAAAUUAUAUUAUGGAAAAAUAAAAUAAAAGAGUACUUAAUAUAAUAAAUCCUUAUGAUAUUCAAAUGUCAAUAUUAAAAUGAAAUUUAUUUAUUCACUAAAUAUGGUCAUUGAUAUUACAACCUUCUUUUUAUAUAAGUUAGGUAAAUUAGGGUGGAGAGUGGAAGCCAACUAUUCCAUAUAAAGUCCUUCAAUAAAAUAUUUCACAUUAAUUUAUUUUCACAUAUAACAUAUUCUAAAAUAAUUGGAAUGUGUUUUGGUAUUAAAAAAAAUGAAAAUAGUAUGAACCAAAAAAUACAUAAAUUAUAUUACAUUAAAGUUAUAUUUGUUUCCCAUAAAAUACUAAGAAAAAAAAAGAGAAUCAAAAUGGUUUUUUAUAUUUGAUUUAACCAUAAAAAAUAUAAAUAAAUAAAUAAAUAUAAUUAAAAUUUAUCAAAAUUUUAUAUAUUUUUAAAUUAUCUAGUUUACAUAUAAUAAAAAGAAAUAAAUAAAAUGAGUUUAAAGAAGUAUGUAAAAAUAAUUUAUUAAAUUAAAAAAAAAAUCUUAACUUUUUAUUUCCUUUUACUUUUUUUCUCAAUUUUGUUUCCUCAAAUUUUUUAAGAACCAAAUAUAGGCUAAAACUUUUGUUUUUUAUUUGAAGUUUUAAUAAACUUUGAAAUAUUUUAUUUCUAUUUUUUGAGUUAUAUGGUUCAAAAUUUAUACAAAUUCAGACGUAUUUAGAUUUCAAAUUGAAAAUAAAAACUUUAUUCAUAAUCCGAUGAUUAUUGUUUGUUUUCUUAAUUGAAUUGUAAUUAAACUGACUCAAUCCUUUUAGUAACUAAAAAAAAUUGAGCAAAUAAAUAGAAGUUUAAUUAACUUACAUGCUAACAACGUGGCAAACAGUGUUGUUGGUGCAGCUACAAGUGACAGCAUUUUCCGACCCCUUCACCGGAUUCUUCGUCGCCCAACCCCACUCGCCGCCGCACGGAUCCGCACUGAAGUUCCAGUCCGUCUUCCCCAGAGUUUUCGCGAUCUCUUCCAGAGCUUCCACUGUAAAGUGUAAUAAUAAUAAGAUUGAUUUUUGAGAGUGUAUAUAUAUAUAGAACUAUGAAAAAUGAGGUAGAAUGAAUGGUAGUAUCACCUUCAUUAUUUGGGAGGAGAGUUGCAGAGAAGGUGAGAGUUGUGAAGAAAGCGAAGGCAAUGAGUAAAGAAGAGAGAAGGCUGUUAAUGGAGGGCAUGGUUUUAGGGUUGUUGCAGAGGAGGAGGGCUUGGGGUUUGGAGGAGCACUAGAUGAUGGAUGAAGAGUGAAUGCAUGAUUUGUGGUAGAGGGUCUUUAUCGUGCACGGGAGGAGAGAGAAAAAGAGAAGACUCAGGGCGAAGACUUCGAUACAUCGUUAUAUCGUACCGUACCAUGGUUAUAUCCGUACCAUGGUUAAUGAUUUUACAUUUGAUUAAUCAAAAAGCUUUUUUUUUUCCGCAAGAUAAAGUUUUUCAAAAAAUAAAUAUUUAAAACUUUUUUCAAAUUCAUAUUUAUACUGAAACAAAAACAUAAGUUCAAUGUCUUGAAAUUUUUAUAUGUGAACUUAUAUAAUCAAUAUGAUAAUAUCAUAAAUUAAUGUUAUUUUAUUUUUUGCAUUGUGAUUCAUAAUGUAGUUGAAUGCAUUAUUACUUGAUUUUUUAUGGAUUCAUCUUAAUUCACUUGACUGACUCAUCAUUAAGUCAAGUGAUCUAAAUUUUAUGUGUGUAAUGUGGUAUAUAUGAAUAUAUUUAUUUAUAUAUAUACAUAAAGGAAAAAGAAAGACUUUUGCUCUGUUUUGUUUUUCUCUUGAGGGCUGAAAGGGCACGUACUGCGAACUCGAGCACACACACGGACUGAAUUUUGGUGUAGAAAGGGAAGAGCUCAUUGAACCUGGAUUUUCACACCAUUAUGAACUGAGCGUAUUAUUUGAUACCAGUGGAACACAAAAAUGACUUUUCAUGUGAUUAAUCAAGGUAAACAUUUCAUCAAUUGCCUUUUUACUGUAUGCUUUAAUGUCAACAUGUGAUAUAUCGUUAUAUUGUACCGUAACCAUGGUUAUAUCGUAUUGUACCAUGGUUAAUGAUUUUACAUUUGAUUAAUCAAAAAGCAUUUUUUCCCCCAAAUUUUAAAGAUAAAGGUUUUAAAAAAAAAAAAAAUUUUAAAAACUUUUUUCAAUUCCACAAGUAUGUCUAGACUUCCAUAUUUAUACUAAAACAAAAACACAAUUUAUUUUCUAUCUUAUCAAGGGUGAUCAAUAUAUAUAUAUAUAUAAACACACGAUAUUUAGUAUAUUCUUUUUAUUUUAAAAUUUUAUAAUUAAUUAUAGUAAUAAAAACUGAUAAAAAGAUAAAAUUUAAUAAUUGUUGGAGACAUUAUCAUUUCAUAUUCUUCAAUUAUUUUACCUUCUAAAGUUAAACCCACUAACAUGAACAGCUCAAUUCAUUUAUAUAUUUCUUGGAUUCACCACUGAAAAUACCCCAAAAAAAAAAAAAAAAAUUCACAAGACAACGGAUUUACAGGCCAUGGAUUGCUGGUGACAGCUCAAGUUUGCUUCAUAGUCAACUCAAUACAAUUUUAUUUUAUUUUUCAAUAUAAUAUGGCCAUGUGGUGAAUAUCCUAUGCAGCAAGAAGUUGGUUCUCAUUUUCUAAGACUUUCUCACCAGCCAAACAUUGUGUAAUAUCAAAGGUAUGAAUAAAAAGAAUUUUCUUCUUUCUGAGUUUUUUUUAAAUCCAAGUUGAGGAAGUUGACUUGGGGAAUAAUACCAAGUUGCAAUGCCGUAGCAAAGAAGAUAACAAUUUUGAAAUUAUCGUCUCCUUCAAGUCUUUGUCACCACCAAACCUAUGGAUUUUCAGAUAAAGUUCUGUACUUAUUGAUUAAGUUAAGUCAUGUUGACAAAUUAGUGGUCAUCAAGUACAAGUUCCUUACACUUUCAUAUAGGUUUGUACUUUUUUUUUCUUUCUAAUAAUUAAAAUUAAUUUUUGGAUCAUGGGAAAUUAAAUGGAGGAAAAGGACCAAAAGGCCAAAAAUAAUUUAAAUUUUUUUAUUUAAUUUAUUGUUAAAAAUAUGAAAAAAAAAUCAAAUAAAAUAAUAAAUAGUUAUAUUUUCAAGUACUACAUUUAAAAAGUAUAUGAAAACUUUAAUUUUAUCAUAAGAAAAUGUUAUUUAUUUUAAUUUUUAAGGUGGUAUUUAUAUAUUAGGAAAUCUUUUUCCUUUUUUCUUUUUAAUAAUAUUUAAAACAAGUCCUCUAAAAUCUAGAUUUUUUUCUUUCAUAAAAUUGGAGUGGGUGUAUAAUAUCAUCUUUCCAUGAAAAGGGAUUCAAAGAAGGUGUGUGAACUUUUGUAUUUUAGCUUAAUAGAAUGAAGCAGCCACCCUUUGUUGACGAAGCUAAAUCUUUCUAUUGUAGGCUUCUAGCUAUACAUUAAAAUAUAUAUAUACAUAUAUAAAAGAGAAAAAGUAAUCAAGGGUAAAAAAUGUGUUUAAAAAAUAUUUUUUUUAUUUAAUCAAUUAUAUUACAUUAAAUAUUAAUAUAAUGUAAUAUAUUUAACUAUAUGUUAUAUAAUUAUAAGCUGUUGUGGCUCACUCGGAAGUUUAUGAUAGACUUAUUUACUUAAUAUGACUUAAUAGUUUAAUUUAAAUUAUUAAAUAUAUUAAGUAUAUUAGAAUAAUAGUUUGAUAUCUCCUUCUAACUUGUUUUCAAACUAAGAAACAUAUCCAUUAAUCCAAAAGUCUCUUUGACGAACAAUCUUCAAUGCUUUUAUACAUUUAUAAUACCUGAGGUGUUGUCUAAAUAUAAUUUUACUGAAAAUUAUGACUUUGACUUUAUCUUCGAUUAAAAAACUAUCUCAACUAGGUUAAGAAAAGAGCAUCAAAGCCACAAAAUCUGUAGAGAAACUAAAGAUGCCAAAAACCGAUAAAUGAGCACAAAUGCUUCAUAGAUUGAUGAACAAGCCUUUCUUUCAUACACAACUCAGAAACAUAUAUCCCAAACAUACAUCUUUGAUAAAAUUGAUAACUUUUUUCUGUAAAACCGUAUGGAUUACAGGACAUGAAAAUAUUUACAAAUUCAAAGAAAUACUAUCCACCCACCUACAUAAAUGGUGUCAAAGAAGAACAUAAAGAAGAAUUGAAAACCAACAUUUAAUCUCUGUUCUCCCAAUAUUCAAAAUCCAAGGUGACUGGGUAGAGAUCAGGGAUGGAUAAAGAAGCAGUCCAUGGCCUGUCUGGCAUGCUCUCGCUCACACCCAUGAUCUUUUCUUGGGUGUAGUAAUAAUGCUCCUUCAUCUCCUCGAGCUUUAAGUCAUCACUAGGAACACUGGGAUCAGAAACAAUGUCCUGAACAGUGGUUCUGCCUUCAAGCAUGCUCACAACUGAUGACAUAGCUGGCCUGACUGCUGGAGAGACCUUUGUGCUCAAGAGAGCUAUGUUGAUCAUCGCCAAGACCUCUUCCUUGUUGAAGUCUGAGCCCAAUCUGGGGUCAACUAGAUCCAUCAAAUUCCCCUCCCCUUUUAAUGAGAGUGCCUAGAAAUUAAGAAAGAAAAAGAGAGCUUGUGUUUAAAUCAAGCCAUAUGGACUCAGGUGGUAAGACUCUAUUUGUUUCAACAUAUGCUGAAUGAAGCCAUGGAAAUGUCACAACCACAUUGAAUGAGUUUAAUAUUUGGUAUGUGAUGAAUGGAAUGUGCCCAGCUAGCCUGCUACCCAGAAAGAGGCAUGCUAAUAUAGGGGUUUGCUCACAGUGAUCAAGGAAGGUCCCAAUGACGUCUUAUUGCUAAUACAGUAAUAUCACACAAUUUGUAUAAUUGAAGUCAUUCAGGAUGGGAGCAUAUACUACCUGCUUCUUCGUUUAAGGUUGAAAAGGAAGCAAUGCAUGUAAGUAUUAGUAGUAUUGGGGCAAUUUCGAUUUGUCUGAGAAAAUUUUUGAUCAAGAGAGUCUAUUUGAUUCAUAUAGCAUCAUGAACUAGGAAAAUGGUCCAAGGGAUGCCAUGAAUCAGAAUAUAACUUCAGCCCAAGAUAGGAAAAUGUAGUUGCCAUGAUGUGGUGACUAUAUUUUUAUAUAUAUAAUUCAAGAGCCAUGGUUAGGGAUUCAUGAUUCGGAUCCUAUUCACUUCCACAUUGAUCAGGCUGGGAAAGCAGCCAGUCCUUGGUCGGUUCUAGUUAAGUUGCUUUACUCAACAGAUUGGCAAAAACAGCAGCAUGACCCGCGACUGUUAUGUGGAACUGCCCAUUUCAAAAUGAGGUUAAAGCAUGUCUUUUGGCUAUAGGAAGUGUUAGACAGAACUAGUGUGAGGGGAUAAAUUUAUUCUCUGGGUUCUCAACAGGUUUUACAGCUUGUAGUUUGAAUGAUGAAGCCAUUCAUCCUUGACGAUGCUUCCCGACACAAAUAACAAAUCAUGCUGUUAAGAAUGAGAAAAUUCAGAGAUGACAUAUGCAAGAAAGAAUGUUGUCGAAAUUACCCAAUCAAGAAGAUAGAUGCAUUCCUCUUUUGGCCUAUAAGUAGUGUUUCUUCUUCCACUGACAAUUUCCAAGGCAACAAUUCCAAAACUGUAAACAUCUGCUUUGUCAGUUAAAUAGCCCCGAAAUGCAUAUUCAGGUGCCAUAUAUCCACAGCAAAAUGAGGGUAUGAUUUUACACAAAUUUUCCAUUUGCAUGAAGGAUCAACACUGGUGAUCAAAAGCAAAAAUUUCUAGGAUGUGGUUUCCAAAGUGAUAUCAGUAUCACUGCUUCCUAUUUGAGCUAAACGGAAAGAUAAAUAAUGAUACUGAAAUUAUCACAGCCAUAAAGAUCUGGAUUACCUGAAUUCUGAAAGAGUAAGAAACCAUUGACAUCCAUUCAAAAGAAAGAAAAAGCCCAUUAACUAAAAAUCAGGAGACAGUGACUCACAAUGCACCAGCAUUCCGGGUGCUAAUGUGGGUGUUAUCCUCUUCAUCAAGUUUGGCCAAACCAAAGUCAGAUAUUUUGGGGUUAAGAUUCUUAUCAAGCAGCACAUUUGUGGCCUUGAUGUCUAGGUGGAUGAUCUUCAGCCUUGAUUCUUCAUGAAGAUAAGCCAACACUCUUGCUAUGCCAACACAGAUCCUGUGCCUAGUUGGCCAAUCCAAUUGUAAUUGACAUUCUUCGGGGCCUAAAUCAUCAUAUCAACCAAAAGUUAGAUGUAAGAAGCACUCAAAUCACACAAGUUCAUAUACAUGUAGUUUUAUAGCAGAAGCAAUUGAGCAAGGCACGUAAGCAGAUGUGAAAAAAACAGACCAAACAAAGCACG